RNAcentral lists this small RNA (563 nucleotides) under Pan troglodytes (chimpanzee). Its description in RNAcentral is "processed transcript". Lineage: Eukaryota; Metazoa; Chordata; Mammalia; Primates; Hominidae. The record is from RNAcentral.
ACAUGCCCGUCUUGGCUUUGUUGUUUCUUCAUCAUCAUUAAUCAUCCAAGCAGUAACUUCAAAGGGGCUACGCUGUCUUCUCCACACAGGAAAAAGAACGGUUGAAGCAAGAAAAACGUGAUGAGAAAAGAUUAAAUAAAGAGCGUAAACUAGAGCAGCGAAGAUUAGAAUUAGAAAUGGCAAAGGAACUAAAGAAGCCUAAUGAAGACAUGUGCUUAGCAGACCAAAAGCCUUUGCCAGAGUUGCCUCGUAUUCCAGGACUUGUUCUCUCUGGAAGUACAUUUUCAGACUGUCUCAUGGUGGUGCAGUUCUUACGAAACUUUGGUAAAGUUUUGGGCUUUGAUGUGAAUAUUGAUGUUCCAAACCUGAGUGUUCUUCAAGAGGGAUUGCUAAAUAUAGGGGACAGCAUGGGUGAAGUACAAGACUUGCUUGUGAGGCUCCUCUCAGCUGCUGUAUGUGAUCCAGGUCUAAUAACAGGAUACAAGGCUAAAACAGCUCUUGGAGAACAUUUGCUGAAUGUUGGUGUGAAUCGAGACAAUGUUUCCGAGAUUUUACAGAUAUUU